UAGGGAAUCUUCGGCAAUGGGGGCAACCCUGACCGAGCAACGCCGCGUGAGUGAAGAAGGUUUUCGGAUCGUAAAGCUCUGUUGUAAGAGAAGAACGUGUGUGAGAGUGGAAAGUUCACACAGUGACGGUAACUUACCAGAAAGGGACGGCUAACUACGUGCCAGCAGCCGCGGUAAUACGUAGGUCCCGAGCGUUGUCCGGAUUUAUUGGGCGUAAAGCGAGCGCAGGCGGUUUAAUAAGUCUGAAGUUAAAGGCAGUGGCUUAACCAUUGUUCGCUUUGGAAACUGUUAAACUUGAGUGCAGAAGGGGAGAGUGGAAUUCCAUGUGUAGCGGUGAAAUGCGUAGAUAUAUGGAGGAACACCGGUGGCGAAAGCGGCUCUCUGGUCUGUAACUGACGCUGAGGCUCGAAAGCGUGGGGAGCGAACAGG
This 429-nucleotide ribosomal RNA is filed under the name bacterium. Its description in RNAcentral is "partial 16S ribosomal RNA". It matches the Rfam family "Bacterial small subunit ribosomal RNA", at positions 355 to 776 of the family's 1533-position model. The record is from RNAcentral.